This 253-nucleotide ribosomal RNA is filed under the name uncultured bacterium. RNAcentral describes it as "partial 16S ribosomal RNA". It matches the Rfam family "Bacterial small subunit ribosomal RNA", at positions 524 to 776 of the family's 1533-position model. The record is from RNAcentral.
UACGUAGGGUGCAAGCGUUAAUCGGAAUUACUGGGCGUAAAGCGUGCGCAGGCGGUUAUGUAAGACAGGUGUGAAAUCCCCGGGCUUAACCUGGGAACUGCAUUUGUGACUGCAUAGCUAGAGUACGGUAGAGGGGGAUGGAAUUCCGCGUGUAGCAGUGAAAUGCGUAGAUAUGCGGAGGAACACCGAUGGCGAAGGCAAUCCGCUGGACCUGUACUGACGCUCAUGCACGAAAGCGUGGGGAGCAAACAGG